GAUGAACGCUGGCGGCGUGCCUAAUACAUGCAAGUCGAGCGAACAGACGAGGAGCUUGCUCCUCUGACGUUAGCGGCGGACGGGUGAGUAACACGUGGAUAACCUACCUAUAAGACUGGGAUAACUUCGGGAAACCGGAGCUAAUACCGGAUAAUAUAUUGAACCGCAUGGUUCAAUAGUGAAAGACGGUUUUGCUGUCACUUAUAGAUGGAUCCGCGCCGCAUUAGCUAGUUGGUAAGGUAACGGCUUACCAAGGCGACGAUGCGUAGCCGACCUGAGAGGAUGAUCGGCCACACUGGAACGGAGACACGGUCCAGACUCCUACGGGAGGCAGCAGUUGGGAAUAUUCCACAAUGGGCGAAAGCCUGACAAAGCAACACCGCGUGAGUGAAGAAGGUCUUCGGAUCGUAAAACUCUGUUAUUGGGGAAGAAAAAAAGUAGAAGAAACUAUGCACGUCUUGACGGUACCUAAUGAAAAAGCAACGGCUAACUCCGUG
This 497-nucleotide ribosomal RNA is filed under the name uncultured bacterium. RNAcentral describes it as "partial 16S ribosomal RNA". It matches the Rfam family "Bacterial small subunit ribosomal RNA", at positions 28 to 507 of the family's 1533-position model. The record is from RNAcentral.